GGCUGGUUAGCUCAGAUGGUUAGAGCGUGGCGCUAAUAAUGCCAAGGUUGUCGGGUUUGAUCCCCAUACUGGCCU
Carcharodon carcharias (great white shark) is the source of this 75-nucleotide non-coding RNA. NCBI's taxonomy places the organism in Eukaryota, Metazoa, Chordata, Chondrichthyes, Lamniformes, Lamnidae. The record is from the annotation of a RefSeq genome assembly.